GGUUGUAGGACUCCAAUAUGGUAGUUCUUUCAGAUAGUCGAAUGACUUGGAAAAGUCAGUCAAAGAGGGUAAAAACCCCGUAGAUGAAAUUUGGAAGGCACCUAGGAGGAUCCUGAGUACGGCGGAACACGAGGAAUUCCGUCGGAAUCCGGGAGGACCAUCUCCCAAGGCUAAAUACUCCCUAGUGACCGAUAGUGAACCAGUACCGUGAGGGAAAGGUGAAAAGCACCCCGGAAGGGGAGUGAAAUAGAACCUGAAACCGUGUGCCUACAACAAGUCAAAGCCCGUUAAUGGGUGAUGGCGUGCCUUUUGUAGAAUGAACCGGCGAGUUACGAUUGCAUGCGAGGUUAAGUUGAAGAGACGGAGCCGCAGCGAAAGCGAGUCUGAAUAGGGCGUUUGAGUAUGUAGUCGUAGACCCGAAACCAUGUGAUCUACCCAUGUCCAGGUUGAAGGUGCGGUAAAACGCACUGGAGGACCGAACCCACGUACGUUGAAAAGUGCGGGGAUGAGGUGUGGGUAGCGGAGAAAUUCCAAACGAACUUGGAGAUAGCUGGUUCUCUCCGAAAUAGCUUUAGGGCUAGCCUCGGAAUUGAGAAUGAUGGAGGUAGAGCACUGUUUGGACUAGGGGCCCAUCUCGGGUUACCGAAUUCAGAUAAACUCCGAAUGCCAUUCAUUCAUAUCCGGGAGUCAGACUGUGAGUGAUAAGAUCCAUAGUCGAAAGGGAAACAGCCCAGACCACCAGCUAAGGUCCCAAAAUAUAUGUUAAGUGGAAAAGGAUGUGGGGUUGCACAGACAACUAGGAUGUUGGCUUAGAAGCAGCCACCAUUUAAAGAGUGCGUAAUAGCUCACUAGUCGAGUGACCCUGCGCCGAAAAUGUACCGGGGCUAAACAUAUUACCGAAGCUGUGGAGUACACCUUUAGGUGUAUUGGUAGGAGAGCGUUCUAAGGGCGUUGAAGGCAGAUCGUGAGGACUGCUGGAGCGCUUAGAAGUGAGAAUGCCGGUAUGAGUAGCGAAAGACAGGUGAGAAUCCUGUCCACCGAAUGACUAAGGUUUCCUGGGGAAGGCUCGUCCGCCCAGGGUUAGUCGGGACCUAAGCCGAGGCCGACAGGCGUAGGCGAUGGACAACAGGUUGAUAUUCCUGUACUCGUUGUUUUUGUUUGAGCAAUGGAGGGACGCAGGAGGCUAAGGAAUGCAGACGAUUGGAAAUGUCUGUCUAAGCAGUAAGUCU
Molecule: ribosomal RNA, 1229 nt
Filed under: Enterococcus hirae
Lineage: Bacteria; Bacillati; Bacillota; Bacilli; Lactobacillales; Enterococcaceae
Description: partial 23S ribosomal RNA
Rfam family: Bacterial large subunit ribosomal RNA
Source: RNAcentral